CCCUUAGAUGUUCUGGGCUGCACGCGCGCUACACUGAAGCGCUCAACGAGUAUUUCACCUUGCCCGGGAGGGUUGGGUAAUCUUUUUAAAACGCUUCGUGAUGGGGAUAGAUUAUUGCAAUUAUUAAUCUUCAACGAGGAAUUCCUAGUAAGCGCGAGUCAUCAGCUCGUGCUGAUUACGUCCCUGCCCUUUGUACACACCGCCCGUCGCUCCUACCGAUUGAAUGGUCCGGUGAAGCGUUCGGACCGUGGCCUUUGGACGGUUCGCCGUCUGUUGGCUGCGGGAAGUUCGUUAAACCUUAUUAUUUAGAGGAAGGAGAANUCGUAACA
This 329-nucleotide ribosomal RNA is filed under the name uncultured eukaryote. RNAcentral describes it as "partial 18S ribosomal RNA". It matches the Rfam family "Eukaryotic small subunit ribosomal RNA", at positions 1470 to 1796 of the family's 1831-position model. The record is from RNAcentral.